Molecule: ribosomal RNA, 1140 nt
Filed under: Leucosporidium sp.
Lineage: Eukaryota; Fungi; Basidiomycota; Microbotryomycetes; Leucosporidiales; Leucosporidiaceae
Description: partial 28S ribosomal RNA
Rfam family: Eukaryotic large subunit ribosomal RNA (bases 551-1140)
Source: RNAcentral
UCCGUAGGGGACCUGCGGAAGGAUCAUUAGUGAAUAUUAGGGCAUCUACUUGUAGAGCGUGACCUCCACUUUCUAACUUUGUGCAUUUAUGGGCGGAAGGACUUGAGCAAUCGAGUUUCCUUUUGCGGCUCAUUUUAAAACACUAGUUAAAGUAUGUAACGAAAUUUCGAAACAAAAAAAACUUUCAACAACGGAUCUCUUGGCUUGCUCAUCGAUGAAGAACGCAGCGAAAUGUGAUAAGUAAUGUGAAUUGCAGAAUUCAGUGAAUCAUCGAAUCUUUGAACGCACCUUGCGCUCUCUGGUAUUCCGGAGAGCAUGUCUGUUUGAGUGUCAUGAACUCUUCAACCCACCAGUUUCUUGUAGACUGAAUGGUGUUUGGUUUUUGAGCGUUGCUGGUCUUCGGAUCUAGCUCGUUCGUAAUAUAUUAGCAUCUCUAAUUCGAACUCGGAUUGACUCAGUGUAAUAGACUAUUCGCUGAGGACACGCUCUUGUAGUGUGGCCGAAUGAGAUCUCAGUAGAAGCUUCCAACUACUUUAGUCAACUUUAGAUUAGACCUCAGAUCAGGCAGGAUUACCCGCUGAACUUAAGCAUAUCAAUAAGCGGAGGAAAAGAAACUAACAAGGAUUCCCCUAGUAACGGCGAGUGAAGCGGGAAGAGCUCAAAUUUGUAAUCUGGCACUUUCAGUGUCCGAGUUGUAAUCUCGAGAAGUAUUUUCCGCGCCGGACCGCAUACAAGUCUGUUGGAAUACAGCGUCAUAGUGGUGAGAACCCCGUAACUGAUGCGGAUGCCCGGUGCUUUGUGAUAUACUUUCGAAGAGUCGAGUUGUUUGGGAAUGCAGCUCAAAUUGGGUGGUAAAUUCCAUCUAAAGCUAAAUAUUGGAGCAAGACCGAUAGCGAACAAGUACCGUGAGGGAAAGAUGAAAAGCACUUUGGAAAGAGAGUUAACAGUACGUGAAAUUGUUGGAAGGGAAACGCUUGAAGUCAGACUUGCUAUUCGGAGUUCAGCCGCAAGGUGUAUUCUUCGAUUUGCAGGCCAGCAUCAGUUUUUGGGGGUGGAAAAUCGUGGUUUGAAGGUAGCAGUUUCGGCUGUGUUAUAGCUUUCCACUGGAUUCAUCUUCGGGGACUGAGGAACGCAGUACGC